UGGAUAUCACUUUAAUAUCAAAAUGAUUAAUCCAUUGAAUGUUGACAGGAGCUGGACUCGACCUAGCGGCGCACAAAACAGAAGUCGUCCUAGUAAGCAGUCGCAAAAAGUGGAAUCUGCCGAUAUAAAGAUAGGAAACGUCACCAUCGCAUCAAAGAGGGCGAUAAAGUAUCUUGGCGUCAU
This is a long non-coding RNA of Drosophila mojavensis, 183 nucleotides long. RefSeq lists it as uncharacterized. The transcript has 2 exons. The record is from RefSeq and is a predicted model, not a curated record. Lineage: Eukaryota; Metazoa; Arthropoda; Insecta; Diptera; Drosophilidae.